RNAcentral lists this ribosomal RNA (337 nucleotides) under Pseudostigma aberrans. Its description in RNAcentral is "partial 12S ribosomal RNA". The record is from RNAcentral. Lineage: Eukaryota; Metazoa; Arthropoda; Insecta; Odonata; Coenagrionidae.
GUAUUAGAUUAUUCUUGAAAUCCAAAUAAUUUGGCGGUAUUUUAUUCUAUUCAGAGGAACCUGUUUUUUAAUUGAUAAUCCACGAUUUUAUAUACUUAAUCUUGUAUAUCAGUUUUUAUAUUUCCGUCAUAAGAAUAUUUUAAUAGAAUAAAUUUUCUUAAUUAUUAAAGGUAAGUAUGUCAGGUCAAGAUGAAACUAAUGUUUAAGUAAAAAUGGGUUACAAUAAAAUUAUUUAUAUGGAUUUUUGGUUUUAGUUAAUUAUUUUGAAGGUGGAUUUGAUAGUAAAUAGUUUUAUUAAAAUUUAUUGAUAAAAGCUCUAAAAUAUGUACACAUCGCC